Molecule: ribosomal RNA, 422 nt
Filed under: Fusobacteriota bacterium
Lineage: Bacteria; Fusobacteriati; Fusobacteriota
Description: Fusobacteria bacterium partial 16S ribosomal RNA
Rfam family: Bacterial small subunit ribosomal RNA
Source: RNAcentral
UGGGGGAUUUUGCACAAUGGGCGCAAGCCUGAUGCAGCGACGCCGCGUGAGGGAUGAAGGCCUUCGGGUUGUAAACCUCUUUCGCUGGGUUGAAAGGCCAUGCUUUGGGUGUGGUUGAUUGGAACUGGUAAAGAAGUACCGGCUAACUACGUGCCAGCAGCCGCGGUAAUACGUAGGGUACUAGCGUUGUCCGGAUUUAUUGGGUGUAAAGGGCUUGUAGGUGGUUUGUCGCGUCUGUCGUGAAAUCCUGUGGCUUAACCAUGGGCUUGCGGUGGGUACGGGCAGGCUUGAGUGCGGUAGGGGAGACUGGAAUUCCUGGUGUCGCGGUGGAAUGCGCAGCUAUCAGGAGGAACACCGGUGGCGAAGGCGGGUCUCUGGGCCGUUACUGACACUGAGGAGCGAAAGCGUGGGGAGCGAACAGG